RNAcentral lists this ribosomal RNA (253 nucleotides) under uncultured bacterium. RNAcentral describes it as "partial 16S ribosomal RNA". It matches the Rfam family "Bacterial small subunit ribosomal RNA", at positions 524 to 776 of the family's 1533-position model. The record is from RNAcentral.
UACAGAGGGUGCAAGCGUUGUUCGGAAUUAUUGGGCGUAAAGGGCGCGUAGGCGGCCUGUUAAGUCGAACGUGAAAUCCCCGGGCUCAACCCGGGAACUGCGUCCGAUACUGGCAGGCUUGAAUUCGGGAGAGGGAUGUGGAAUUCCAGGUGUAGCGGUGAAAUGCGUAGAUAUCUGGAGGAACACCGGUGGCGAAGGCGGGUCUCUGGGCCGAUACUGACGCUGAGGAGCGAAAGCGUGGGGAGCGAACAGG